GGGCGAAUGGUUUAGUGGUAUAAUACUCCCUUAGCAUGUGUGCAACGAUUGGGAGUGGUCCAGGGUUCGAUUCCCUGUUCGUCCA
Non-coding RNA from Claviceps humidiphila, 85 nucleotides. NCBI's taxonomy places the organism in Eukaryota, Fungi, Ascomycota, Sordariomycetes, Hypocreales, Clavicipitaceae. The record is from the annotation of a GenBank genome assembly.